Molecule: ribosomal RNA, 478 nt
Filed under: uncultured bacterium
Lineage: Bacteria
Description: partial 16S ribosomal RNA
Rfam family: Bacterial small subunit ribosomal RNA
Source: RNAcentral
GACGAACGCUGGCGGCGUGCUUAACACAUGCAAGUCGAGCGAUGAAGUCUCUUCGGAUAUGGAUUAGCGGCGGACGGGUGAGUAACACGUUGGUAACCUGCCUCAUAGAGGGGAAUAGCCUUUCGGAAGGAAGAUUAAUGCCCCAUAAGAUUGUAGUACCGCAUGGUAUAGCAAUUAAAGGAGUAAUCCGCUAUGAGAUGGACCCGCGUCGCAUUAGCUAGUUGGUGAGGUAGCGGCUCACCAAGGCGACGAUGCGUAGCCGACCUGAGAGGGUGAUCGGCCACAUUGGGACUGAGACACGGCCCAGACUCCUACGGGAGGCAGCAGUGGGGAAUAUUGCACAAUGGGGGAAACCCUGAUGCAGCAACGCCGCGUGAGUGAUGACGGUCUUCGGAUUGUAAAGCUCUGUCUUCAGGGACGAUAAUGACGGUACCUGAGGGGGAAGCCACGGCUAACUACGUGCCAGCAGCCGCCGUAA